Molecule: ribosomal RNA, 586 nt
Filed under: uncultured bacterium
Lineage: Bacteria
Description: partial 16S ribosomal RNA
Rfam family: Bacterial small subunit ribosomal RNA
Source: RNAcentral
UGGGGAAUUUUGGACAAUGGGCGAAAGCCUGAUCCAGCAAUGCCGCGUGUGUGAAGAAGGCCUUCGGGUUGUAAAGCACUUUUGUCCGGAAAGAAAUCCUUGGCUCUAAUACAGUCGGGGGAUGACGGUACCGGAAGAAUAAGCACCGGCUAACUGCGUGCCAGCAGCCGCGGUAAUACGUAGGGUGCAAGCGUUAAUCGGAAUUACUGGGCGUAAAGCGUGCGCAGGCGGUUUGCUAAGACCGAUGUGAAAUCCCCGGGCUCAACCUGGGAACUGCAUUGGUGACUGGCAGGCUAGAGUAUGGCAGAGGGGGGUUAGAAUUCCACGUGUAGCAGUGAAAUGCGUAGAGAUGUGGAGGAAUACCGAUGGCGAAGGCAGCCCCCUGGGCCAAUACUGACGCUCAUGCACGAAAGCGUGGGGAGCAAACAGGAUUAGAUACCCUGGUAGUCCACGCCCUAAACGAUGUCAACUAGUUGUUGGGGAUUCAUUUCCUUAGUAACGUAGCUAACGCGUGAAGUUGACCGCCUGGGGAGUACGGUCGCAAGAUUAAAACUCAAAGGAAUUGACGGGGUCAUAGCUGUUUCCU